Molecule: ribosomal RNA, 122 nt
Organism: Denticeps clupeoides (denticle herring)
Lineage: Eukaryota; Metazoa; Chordata; Actinopteri; Clupeiformes; Denticipitidae
Source: Ensembl
GCUUACGCCAUACCAGCCCAAGAUAACGCCCGGUCUCGUCUGAUCUCGGAAGCUAAGAAGGCUUUGGCCUGGUUAGUACUUGGAUGGGAGACCUCCUGGGACUUGCCCAGGUGCUGUAAGCU